GACAGAGGGUGCAAGCGUUGUUCGGAUUGACUGGGCGUAAAGGGCGUGUAGGCGGUUAGGUAAGUCCGUUGUGAAAUCAACAUCGCUUAACGGGUUGUCCGCAUCGGAAACUGUCUAACUUGAGUAUAGGAGAGGAUAACGGAAUUCCUGGUGUAGCGGUGGAAUGUGUAGAUAUCAGGAGGAACACCGGUGGCGAAGGCGGUUAUCUGGCCUAAUACUGACGCUGAGGCGCGAAAGCUAGGGGAGCAAACCGG
Molecule: ribosomal RNA, 254 nt
Filed under: uncultured bacterium
Lineage: Bacteria
Description: partial 16S ribosomal RNA
Rfam family: Bacterial small subunit ribosomal RNA
Source: RNAcentral